GAAAAGUCUGGUGCCAGCACCCGCGGUAAUUCCAGCUCCAAAAGUAUAUUUUAAAGUUGUUGCGGUUAAAACGCUCGUAGUCAAUUUAAAAGUUUAACUGAUAUGUUACCUUGAACAUGUACAGUUUGGAGAUUCAUAAUCUCCAGAUUCCUUUACAGGGCAACGUGUUUGAGGCUCGUUUUCGAAAGCUUUCGGAGGAAAAAUGCAGUCCUACUUGGGCCUGUAUAGAGAGUGUAUAGAAAUUAGCAUCUUCAGUUAGAUUUGUCUUCAACUGUGAUUAAAUCAAUGUGCUUAAAGCCGGGUCAAUAAAUCAAUCCUAUAUGCUUCAACAUGGUAUUGAGGUUAAUAUCACAGAAGCGAAGGCGGUUACCCAUCACACUUCAGUCAAUCAGGAACGAAAGUUGGGGGAUCGAAGAUGAUUAGAUACCAUUGUAGUCCCAACUGUAAACUAUCUCGACAAGAGAUUGGCAGGAUACUUUUUUUCAGAUUCUCUCAGCAUCUAAGGGAAACCGAAAGUGUUUGGAGUCCUGGGGGAGUAUGGUCGCAAGGCUGAAACUUAAAAGAAUUGACGGAAGAGCACCACCAGGAGUGGAGUUUGCGGCUUAAUUCGACCCAACACGGGAAAACUCACCAAGUCCGGAUAGUUGUUAGGAUUGACAGAAUAAAGUUCUUUCAAGAUUUGCUAUAUGGUGGUGCAUGGCCGUUCUUAGUUCGUGGAGUGAUUUGUCUGCUUAAUUGCGAUAACGAACGAGACCUCUUUCACUAACUAGGCCAUCAGUUUUACACAAACUGAUAAAAUCUGGCUAGGGCGUGUCUCUAGUUGGAGGCUUCUUAGGGAGACAAUACUUCGUUUAUACAAUAAUUAGAGUAAGGAAGCGAGGCAAUAACAGGUCUGUGAUGCCCUUCGAUGUUUUGGGCAGCACGCGUAUUACAAUAUUAAUACCAGCAAGUUUAUCUUAAUUGCCUUCUCUAAAUCUAAAAGAGUGGGAAAACUUUUCAACUAUUAAUGUGACUGGGAUAGAUGUUUGGUAAUUUCAUCUUAAACGAGGAAUUCCUAGUAGGCGCAGGUCAGCAACCUGCACCGAUUACGUCCCUGCUCUUUGUACACACCGCCCGUCGCUCCUACCAAUGGAACAAGAAGGUGAAGUUGAGGGACUUUUCUCCGGAUGAGAAACUUACCUAAACCUUCAUGUUUAUAGGAAGGAUAAGUCGUAACAAGGUCU
RNAcentral lists this ribosomal RNA (1223 nucleotides) under uncultured soil eukaryote. RNAcentral's name for it is "SSU rRNA". It matches the Rfam family "Eukaryotic small subunit ribosomal RNA", at positions 554 to 1802 of the family's 1831-position model. The record is from RNAcentral.